Molecule: ribosomal RNA, 194 nt
Filed under: uncultured Methanolinea sp.
Lineage: Archaea; Methanobacteriati; Methanobacteriota; Methanomicrobia; Methanomicrobiales; Methanoregulaceae
Description: partial 16S ribosomal RNA
Rfam family: Archaeal small subunit ribosomal RNA
Source: RNAcentral
CAGCAUGCCCCGAAUUAUCCGGGCUACACGCGGGCUACAAUGGUCAGGACAAUGGGGUAUCGACACCGAGAGGUGGAGGCAAUCUCCUAAACCUGUCCUUAGUUCGGAUUGUGGGCUACAACUCGCCCACAUGAAGCUGGAAUCCGUAGUAAUCGCGUUUCAAAAAUAGCGCGGUGAAUAUGUCCCUGCUCCUU